ACAGUUGGAACGACUGCUAAUACCCAAUAUGGCGAAAGCUGAAAUAUAAUUUGCCUUAAGAGGAGCUCGCGUCCGAUUAGUUAGUUGGUGGGGUAAAGGCCUACCAAGGCAGCGAUCGGUAGCUGGUCUGAGAGGAUGAGCAGCCACACUGGGACUGAGACACGGCCCAGACUCCUACGGGAGGCAGCAGUGGGGAAUUUUCCGCAAUGGGCGAAAGCCUGACGGAGCAAUACCGCGUGAGGGAGGAAGGUUUUUGGAUUGUAAACCUCUUUUUUAAAGGAAGAAUCAAGUGACGGUACUUUAAGAAUAAGCAUCGGCUAACUCCGUGCCAGCAGCCGCGGUAAUACGGAGGAUGCAAGCGUUAUCCGGAAUCAUUGGGCGUAAAGCGUCCGCAGGUGGCUUUUCAAGUCUGCUGUUAAAGACAGAAGCUCAACUUCUGAUAGGCAGUGGAAACUGGGAGGCUAGAGUAUGGUAGGGGUUGAGGGAAUUCCCAGUGUAGCGGUGAAAUGCGUAGAUAUUGGGAAGAACACCAGUGGCGAAGGCGCUCAACUGGGCCAUAACUGACACUCAGGGACGAAAGCUAGGGUAGCGAAAGGGAUUAGAUAC
Molecule: ribosomal RNA, 606 nt
Filed under: cyanobacterium CBW1116
Lineage: Bacteria; Bacillati; Cyanobacteriota
Description: bacterial SSU rRNA
Rfam family: Bacterial small subunit ribosomal RNA
Source: RNAcentral